UAGAGAGUAGCUCAGUUGGUAGAGCGGCGAACUGUUAAUUCGUUGGUCCUUGGUUCGAUCCCAAGCUCUCUAG
RNAcentral lists this transfer RNA (73 nucleotides) under Nitrospiraceae bacterium. Its description in RNAcentral is "tRNA-Asn". It matches the Rfam family "tRNA". From Rfam's summary of the family: Transfer RNA (tRNA) molecules are approximately 80 nucleotides in length. Their secondary structure includes four short double-helical elements and three loops (D, anti-codon, and T loops). The record is from RNAcentral. Lineage: Bacteria; Pseudomonadati; Nitrospirota; Nitrospiria; Nitrospirales; Nitrospiraceae.